GAUGAACGCUGGCGGCGUGCCUAAUACAUGCAAGUCGAGCGAACAGACGAGGAGCUUGCUCCUCUGACGUUAGCGGCGGACGGGUGAGUAACACGUGGAUAACCUACCUAUAAGACUGGGAUAACUUCGGGAAACCGGAGCUAAUACCGGAUAAUAUAUUGAACCGCAUGGUUCAAUAGUGAAAGACGGUUUUGCUGUCACUUAUAGAUGGAUCCGCGCCGCAUUAGCUAGUUGGUAAGGUAACGGCUUACCAAGGCAACGAUGCGUAGCCGACCUGAGAGGGUGAUCGGCCACACUGGAACUGAGACACGGUCCAGACUCCUACGGGAGGCAGCAGUAGGGAAUCUUCCGCAAUGGGCGAAAGCCUGACGGAGCAACGCCGCGUGAGUGAUGAAGGUCUUCGGAUCGUAAAACUCUGUUAUUAGGGAAGAACAAAUGUGUAAGUAACUAUGAACAUCUUGACGGUACCUAAUCAGAAAGCCACGGCUAACUACGUG
This 497-nucleotide ribosomal RNA is filed under the name uncultured bacterium. Its description in RNAcentral is "partial 16S ribosomal RNA". It matches the Rfam family "Bacterial small subunit ribosomal RNA", at positions 28 to 507 of the family's 1533-position model. The record is from RNAcentral.